RNAcentral lists this ribosomal RNA (253 nucleotides) under uncultured bacterium. RNAcentral describes it as "partial 16S ribosomal RNA". It matches the Rfam family "Bacterial small subunit ribosomal RNA", at positions 524 to 776 of the family's 1533-position model. The record is from RNAcentral.
UACGAAGGUGGCAAGCGUUGUUCGGAUUUACUGGGCGUACAGGGAGCGUAGGCGGUUGGGUAAGCCCUCCGUGAAAUCUCCAGGCUUAACCUGGAAAGUGCAGAGGGGACUGCUCGGCUAGAGGAUGGGAGAGGAGCGCGGAAUUCCCGGUGUAGCGGUGAAAUGCGUAGAGAUCGGGAGGAAGGCCGGUGGCGAAGGCGGCGCUCUGGAACAUUUCUGACGCUGAGGCUCGAAAGCGUGGGGAGCAAACAGG